GAUUCUGCAAUGACUAGAUGCAGUAAGUGGAGGUGUUGAUGGGCUGAAACUCUGAAUGUUCUUCCCAAUUCCAAUGCUGCAACUUGAAUCAUCUGAUUCCAUCACAAGGUUCUUCCUUCCCUUUUCAAAUCCUCUAGAUGCUCCAGCAAUCUUUAUUUCAUUUCCCAAAAAACACACAUAAAAAGUAAAGUUUAUCAGAAAAUGAUUAUGAUAAAGAGCUGCUAUAAGAAUGUGCAAGACAAAUCUGACCCAUAUCAAAAAAAUUUGUUCUUUUUCUGGACAAGAUUAAACAGGAAAACGAAAUGCUUGGAAACGUUAGGUGAAACUGUAAAAGAAUAAACCAAAUUUGAAGAUGACCCAUUUCAAAAAGUUUUCAUCUUUUUACUCAAAAAGGCAAUGAAAUGGUAGGUGAAACUGUAAGAGAUCCUUGUUACCCAAUACCAAAGUUUCUUCCUUUU
RNAcentral lists this long non-coding RNA (458 nucleotides) under Brassica napus (rape). RNAcentral describes it as "long non-coding RNA (BNAP_LNC024677)". The record is from RNAcentral. Lineage: Eukaryota; Viridiplantae; Streptophyta; Magnoliopsida; Brassicales; Brassicaceae.